Molecule: ribosomal RNA, 499 nt
Filed under: uncultured bacterium
Lineage: Bacteria
Description: partial 16S ribosomal RNA
Rfam family: Bacterial small subunit ribosomal RNA
Source: RNAcentral
AUUGAACGCUGGCGGCAUGCCUUACACAUGCAAGUCGAACGGCAGCGCGGACCUCGGUCUGGCGGCGAGUGGCGAACGGGUGAGUAAUACAUCGGAACGUACCCUGUUGUGGGGGAUAACUAGUCGAAAGAUUAGCUAAUACCGCAUACGACCUGAGGGUGAAAGUGGGGGACCGCAAGGCCUCACGCAGCAGGAGCGGCCGAUGUCUGAUUAGCUAGUUGGUGGGGUAAAGGCCACCAAGGCGACGAUCAGUAGCUGGUCUGAGAGGACGAUCAGCCACACUGGGACUAGGAAACGGCCCAGACUCCUACGGGAGGCAGCAGUGGGGAAUUUUGGACAAUGGGGGCAACCCUGAUCCAGCAAUGCCGCGUGUGUGAAGAAGGCCUUCGGGUUGUAAAGCACUUUUGUCCGGAAAGAAAUCGCGCUGGUUAAUACCUGGCGUGGAUGACGGUACCGGAAGAAUAAGCACCGGCUAACUACGUGCCAGCCGCCGCCGUAA